AUUUGUGUUGCCUCGGCUGUAAUGUCUGAUUAUAUUUGAUUCAGUCGAGGCAGUGCGAUACAAUUUUUAAUGAGUAGUAUUAAAAUAAAUGAAAUAGAAUAUUGUUUGUUUUGAGGUUUUCCGGCGUCUUAAAAUUCUGAAUGAAUCUUUGCGGGCCGGCGUUCAACACACACAGACACACACAGAGAGGCGUCCGACGGCGCCGCCGUUUCUUCUCUCUUUCUCUUUCCGAGCGGCCGCUAUCUAUCGGUCGCGGCCAACUCCAUACGUUGGUAUCGUCUGGGGUCGGGUGCCCUGGCGCCUAUAUGGCGCCAUGUGGCACGGCCGCUGGGCGCCCCCCCUUUCCGCGCGUUACACGGCGCAGACGAAGGGGGCCCGAUACGGUAUCGCGAGCACGACGAGGAUGGAAAGAUUGCCUCGCCGCACGUCACGCUGUUAGUUAAAAGUUUAGCCUCACUCCGCGUUUCAGUCGAGAACCGACCGUCGCGACUCGUCGACGUGCGCCAUCCCAGUUAAACGCGCAACAUUUUUUUUUGAAUCAUUUACGGUUAUGAAUAUUAUUUUGUUGAAAAGUGUUCGAGAUAGAAAAAUAUAUUGUGAUAUGUUUUACUUUUUAUCGAAUACUAAAAGGGAGAAUCGAAUUUUUAUUUGAAACUAGGCUUUAGAAAUAAUUCGUUAAAAAUCGUAUUUUUAAAAAACAUUCGCUUAUUGGGGGGAAACGGGGGUGUGUUCAGGUUAAAAGUGCUUCCGCUAGACGUAACCAAAUGUACCUUUCCAAGGAGAAGUGCCGUACACAGCGGAUACAUGUUCAAGUUCCGCAGGAAGACCGCGCUGGUUAAGAAAUUGCUCAAGGAGGCGUCCCGACCGGCUAAUGGACCUUCUGACGAGGGCCUAUGUUACCAGAAGCUGGCAGCCCUCCUCAGGAAACUCAACGCGAACCAGCUCGAGAUGUUGCACCAGGUCGUCACGACCAAAGGAAAGGGCAAUUUCGGUUGCGUCCUCGUUGAAAAUGACGGUAUCGUCGAAGAUCCUCAUUUACUCUGUUGCAAGAGUUGGAGAUGGAGCGAUGAUUGGAGAAGGGACGAAAUCAGAAGGUUGCCGGUUUGCGGUUCCGCGAGAGACAAAGUGUAUGUUUGUAUUAAUCCUUAUCAUCUCAGCAAAUUAUGUAUACCAGAUUCUAUUCCGCCACCUUAUUCGUGUUUGGACCACAUAAACCCAGAAGAUCGGGCCCAAAUCGAUUCAAGAUUAGUUUUCAGGGACAGUUACGCCGAAUCGUUGACUACGAACGGUGAAAGGGAAAAUGAGUUGGAAAUGAAAAGAGAAAAUGAAUGGAAAAGAAAAAUGGUGAGGAAUUGUUAUACGGGCGCAUUGAAAAGAGACGGAGAGUCGACCGGCUUGUUUAAAAAUAGCCAUUACAAGUUCACCGCUGGCGCCAGGAUUAUGGUAUCGGCGAUGUUACGUCACUCGCACGACGACCGCCCGUUACCCGCAGCACACGCCGCUACCGCCGUCGCCGCCUGCGAAGCUGAAUUUUCGCGAGAACGUUGCCGGCGCCUAUUUAGAAAACGGCACCGAAUAAUAUUAAUUUAUGAAAAAUUAUACCCUUCAUUGGAACCAACGAAUGAGACAAAAAUAUCCUAAAUUCAAAGUCAACAUAGAUACAUAUACAAUGUUAGACGCAAUGAAACAUCUAAAAUUAUCACUUUCGAUAUCAAUCAAGUCAUCUUCAGGACUCGAAUUUUUUGUAUAUCUGGUUGUUAGCAAGAGAAUUUGGAAGAAUAUUAAAGAUAUUAUAGCAUAAACAAAGGAAUGAUAAUAAUUGAAGCUAUAAGAAAGUUUUAUUCCUAAAUUUUGAUUGGUCAAAAUUGCUCUCAGAGUGUCUCUAACUCCAAUUAUGAAGAUGAUGAUAUUUGGAGGUGAUGUGGUGUUUGAAUUGACACUUUACUUCAUCUUAACUGCUAUAACAGAGGAAAGAUAAAAUGAGUUGAUGAGUAUCUUGGAUAACAGACAUCUUGUUUGAGCAAACACUUUGAAAUGCAUAUUUAUGAAGAGAUAUUUCAACUUAUAUAUAUAUAACUUGGCAUAUUAGUGGUGUUAAUGCUUAAGGAAAUCAGAUGAUGUGAUUCUUUUUCUUUCACAUACACAGCGUCCAUUAAUACCCCAUUGAAAAAUAACACAGAUAAUUUCUGAUAUAUUGAGAGUUAUUAAUGCAACUAUAUAUGUUGAUGAUAAGGUUCAUAGAAUAAAAUGGAAGCACCACAACAAGCUUCAUUCAAUCAAGAAAUGACUCCGUGCUUUUUAGAUUCAAAAUGAUAAUGGCGAAGUCGACAAAAAUGAUUGUUUACCAAUUUUUGAUCUGAUAGUUUAUUUCUUUGCAAUAUUCUUUGAAAUAAGAAUCUUUAGUACUAAUAUUUUUUAAUAGAUGUGAUUUUUUUUCUGUCUCAUACACUGCGUUCAUUAACACCCCAUUGAAAAAUAACAGACAUAAUUUCUGAUAUAUUGACAGUUAUUAAAGAUAUAUUAAUGGGAUCAACUACUUCCAUAUAUGUUGACGAUAAGGUUCAUAGAAAGAAAUAAGAUUAAAAUGGAAGCACCACAACAAGCUUCAUUCAAUCAAGACUCUGGUGCUUUUUAGAUUCAAAAUGAUGAUGGCGAAGUCGGCAAAAAUGAUUGUUUGCCAAUUUUAGAUUUUUUUAUUUUUCUUUAUAUUUUAUAUCUCUACUCUUGCAACACACUUUUAUCCUAUCAAUUUCUAUCCCAUCUUUGGCUAUGUAUGCUAAAACUAGAUGAAACUUUCAUCUAUUGUCUCUUAAAGUCCAAACAUGUUCAUUUUGGGUAGUCAUAAAUCAUAGCACAUAACCUGAGUAUGCUUGAAAGUUUUAAAAGUGUUCCCCAUAAUUCUUCUUGUACAUCACAAUUACACCAAAAAGCUCAUUCAUUGUUCAUCAUCAUUCAUCAUAUAUAAAACUCUUCUCUCACCCUAAAACCUAACUCGCAUUUAUGUUGGCUUACAAAACAAUUAACUACAAAGACUUGCAUAUCCUAAGUUAAGCUUAGAUUUUCGCAUUAUAACCGACAGUUUUGUGUUCUGGAACAACAUCAACCUCGUUAAGUAUCUAGACUACUUCUACAUCCAGCGAUUUAUUGCUCAAUCACGUAAAAAGACACCUCUCGGAGUCCAACAACAAUCGGGUCUCAAAAUUGAAAUCUCGUGAUUAUCUCUAAACUGCAGCUAAUGUUAUAAAUUUAUGCACUUGAUCACAUUAAUGGCGCACCGCUUCUGUAUGCUAAGGAAGAAAGGAAGGGAUUGGUUGCAACAUAUAUUUAUUUAUUUAUCGUAUGGCUACAUAUAAUAAUGACAGUAUGAGUACAAAGCAUAAAUUUUCCACAAAAUAGCUUGCUGUAUAUGUUCAAGUCACGGCUCACUUCGAGGUUGAUGUCAGUCACCAGAUCCGCUCUAUGUUUCUAUGUGUCAUUAUUGCAGGUUGUCUAGAUUUCUAGAUUAAAUCCUCAUGAGUGCACCGAGCAUGUUAUUCAGCAGCAAACUCAGUGUCUUAUCAAGUCUAAAAAGUCCAUAAAACGAUCAAUAUAAAUAUAUUGUCAAUAUCUGAGUAUUCACAAUAUUAUUGAACGUGUGCGUUGAACGUUGACACAUUGUCAAUAUUAAAAAUAUUGAUAGGAUGGUUUGACGAAAACGAAAAUAUUUGAUAUAUUGAUAAUAAAUAUUGACAGUCUGAGGGAGAUAUUGACAAUCCUACGUUAGUAGGAUUAUAUUAUUGAUUAUAUCAUGUAAUAAUGAAUUCAGACAAAUAUACUUUAAUGGACGAAAGUGCUAUUAACUCCCCUAAUUGUUCAUUAACACAUGCAAAUAUGACAUGGCAUCUUUGACUGCCAACGCAAAACUAAGUAGAUUCUCAAUAAAUAUUAAUAGUCUGAGGUAAUUACAGUUUGUCAAUAUUUAUUGGUCAUAUUGACAAUAUAUGUUGAUCUUUUAGAUCCACAAAGACGGCAAAUGUCUUCUCUCGGUUCUGAAAGCCAACCUCGAUACAAGUUGUAAAGCUGAGAUUCAGAUACACGCAGCUGCGUCCCCACCUAAAACCUAAUUGUUUAACCGAGAUAUACUCUGUAGAGCUGCUUAGUAGAGCAUUGGGUAGCUACCAGGCAGCUCCGCUGGUUUCCUCGGCUUCAGGAUGAAGAUAAUCUUUGUUUUCUUAAAUCCUUUUGGAAUAAUACCCAAAUUUUUAGAAUAUCA
RNAcentral lists this unclassified non-coding RNA (4252 nucleotides) under Onthophagus taurus. Its description in RNAcentral is "mothers against decapentaplegic homolog 6, transcript variant X2". Lineage: Eukaryota; Metazoa; Arthropoda; Insecta; Coleoptera; Scarabaeidae. The record is from RNAcentral.